UAUGCACUCUGAAAACAUUAGAUAUCAUUAUUAUAGCACAAAAUCAUUCUAACUCAGUCGGCCAGACUCCAGACCUUGCUGCCUGUGCACUGUGCUCUGUGGCUUUGCUGCUUGGCCUCCACUGCUGCCUGACCAUUUGAUUCCAUUGGGUUGGGUCAGCUCAGCUUUUCAGGUCAUGCUGAAGUUUGAUUUGUUAUUCAAGUAUUAACUCUGCCUCUAAGACUACAUUUGAAAAGCAUGUAUUAUUCAUCUUUUUUCAAAUAUUGCAUUUUCUCGAUCUUGGAUGUACUGUUUCAUAUUUUCAUGUUUGUGGGGAGAAGGGUGCAUCUCACAUUACAACAUGGGCAGUAUUUUUUUUCCUGGAAAGUGAUGAUUAAGUCCUGGCUCUGUCUUACACCUGGU
Molecule: long non-coding RNA, 402 nt
Filed under: Homo sapiens (human)
Lineage: Eukaryota; Metazoa; Chordata; Mammalia; Primates; Hominidae
Description: non-protein coding lnc-AFDN-10:1
Source: RNAcentral